Transfer RNA from Phytophthora infestans T30-4, 73 nucleotides. It matches the Rfam family "tRNA". Rfam says of the family: Transfer RNA (tRNA) molecules are approximately 80 nucleotides in length. Their secondary structure includes four short double-helical elements and three loops (D, anti-codon, and T loops). Further hydrogen bonds mediate the characteristic L-shaped molecular structure. tRNAs have two regions of fundamental functional importance: the anti-codon, which is responsible for specific mRNA codon recognition, and the 3' end, to which the tRNAs corresponding amino acid is attached (by aminoacyl-tRNA synthetases). tRNAs cope with the degeneracy of the genetic code in two manners: having more than one tRNA (with a specific anti-codon) for a particular amino acid; and 'wobble' base-pairing, i.e. permitting non-standard base-pairing at the 3rd anti-codon position. The record is from Rfam. NCBI's taxonomy places the organism in Eukaryota, Oomycota, Peronosporomycetes, Peronosporales, Peronosporaceae.
UCCGAAAUAGUCUAGGCGGUUAGGAUACGUGGCUUUCACCCACGCGACCCGGGUUCGAGGCCCGGUUCGGGAA